RNAcentral lists this unclassified non-coding RNA (200 nucleotides) under soil metagenome. RNAcentral describes it as "partial contains internal transcribed spacer 2 and large subunit ribosomal RNA". The record is from RNAcentral.
GGAUGUGGGGGUCUUUUUGCUGGUCUUCUCAGGUCAGCUCCCCUGAAAUGCAUUAGCGGAACAAUUUGUGGACCGUUCAUUGGUGUGAUAACUAUCUACGCUAUUGACGUGAAGCAGGUUCAGCUUCUAACAGUCCAUUGACUUGGACAAAUUUUCAUUAAUGUGACCUCAAAUCAGGUAGGACUACCCGCUGAACUUAA